UACAUGGGGUGCAAACGUUGCUCGGAAUUAUUGGGCGUAAAGAGCGCGUAGGCGGUUAUCUAAGUCGGACGUGAAAGCCCUCGGCUUAACUGAGGAAGUGCACCCGAAACUGGGUAGCUAGAGUACUAAAGAGGGUCGCGGAAUUCCCGGUGUAGAGGUGAAAUUCGUAGAUAUCGGGAGGAACACCGGUGGCGAAGGCGGCGACCUGGGUAGAUACUGACGCUGAGGCGCGAAGGCGUGGGGAGCGAACGGG
RNAcentral lists this ribosomal RNA (253 nucleotides) under uncultured bacterium. RNAcentral's name for it is "partial 16S ribosomal RNA". It matches the Rfam family "Bacterial small subunit ribosomal RNA", at positions 524 to 776 of the family's 1533-position model. The record is from RNAcentral.